GAAAGUUUUAAAAAGACAUAAAUUUCACUUACCCUUCUGUGUGUCUAAACACCCAGUUUUCCCCUGUAAGGCAUCCACUCCUAUCGGUUUCUUGUAUAUCCUUCUGGAGGUUUGCAAUGUAAGAUUUCAUAUAUGGUCAUACAAAUGUGUAUGUAUCCUUAACAUACACUCAAAUAAAUGGUAGGAAUGGUAGCAUUUAAAUAGCAUAUCCUGGCAAUCUUUUUUCUUUUUUUUAAGAUUUUAUUUAUUUAUUUGAGUGAGAGAGAGAGCAUCCAAGGGGGGGGAGGGAGAGGGAGAAGCAGACUCCCCACUGAACAGGGAGCCCCAUGGAGGGCUCCAUCCCAGGACCCUGAGAUCAUGACCUGAGCUGAAGGCCACCAAUUAACCGACUGAGCCACGCAGGGCGCCCCCUAUCUUAGCCGUCUUGCCAGUUUUCAGUCUUGAAAAUUUCUGCCAAAUUGUCCUUCCUUGCCCUUUAGGGAGGUUGUCCCAGUUUGUAUUCCUACCCACAGGAAACGUGAGAGAAAGUGCCCGCUUCCCCACAGACUCACCAACACGAUGCCUUAUCGGACCCCUUUGAUUUUUGCCAGUCUGAAGGCAAAAUAGCACCUAGUAGUUUCCGUUCGCAUUUUGUAUUUUGAAGUUCAGCAUCAACUUGAGAUGAAUUUAAAAAUAUUUUUCCAGUUUAUGUCUUGACUUUCUACAUUUAUUUGCCAUGAAAACCAUUUUUAAAAUGUGUAUCAAUUUAGUAGUCAAUUCUCUUAUGGCUUUUAUGUUUCGUUUCAUUUAGAAAGGCCCAGUUGGAGAGUACAGAAAUAAUUCAUUGUUGUUUUUUACAUGUAAAGUCUUUGAUCUGUCUGGAAAUUUUAGAGUAAGGUUAGGAGGUAUGCAGGCUUGCUUUUGAUGCAAAGAUACAUACUUUCUUUAGGAAAUUUGGAAAAACAACAGGGGGGAACGAAAACCACCCACGGCCCCAGCAGCACCAGUAUAUAUAACAAAAUCGGGACCAUACUCACACUGUAUCUUAAUUUUUUUUCACUUGAGACUAACACAGUAACAUAGAUUUAGAAAAUACUUUAAACGGAUGCUUAGUAUUGUGUCUGAAUUUUUUAAAGCCAUCCCGGUGCUUUUCUGAGGUGAAAUCUAAGGCCUUUAAAGGAGCACAUGGCCUCAGUUUUUAGGCUUGCUUUUAAGUCCUGAACAGUGUCGGAGAGCCCAUUUUAAUGAGAUGCCAGCACUCUGGCGAGCCCGGCACCCAGCGGGCCUGGAGCCGACCCGACCUGAUCGGACCCAGUAGCGGAC
RNAcentral lists this long non-coding RNA (1302 nucleotides) under Ursus maritimus (polar bear). Its description in RNAcentral is "lncRNA (ENSUMAG00000009888.1)". Lineage: Eukaryota; Metazoa; Chordata; Mammalia; Carnivora; Ursidae. The record is from RNAcentral.